RNAcentral lists this long non-coding RNA (481 nucleotides) under Salvia miltiorrhiza (redroot sage). Its description in RNAcentral is "long non-coding RNA (SMIL_LNC012579)". Lineage: Eukaryota; Viridiplantae; Streptophyta; Magnoliopsida; Lamiales; Lamiaceae. The record is from RNAcentral.
AAGGAUGGAGGCAGCAUGAAAACCUUAGGUACGGCAACAACCACUAUUUGGGGCCUAACCAAGGGCAAACGAGUAACCCACCACAAUACUCGGAACAACCUCAACAGGCAAGGGGAUCCUCCUUAUCAGAGCUAGUGCAUCAAAUGGCUCAGCUGCUGAAAUAGAAAUUUUAUUGAAGAAAAACAAAACCCUUGAGAGCACAGGCGCAAACAAGGAAAGUUCGAAAAAACCCAAACCAAAAAAAUAAAAACAANAAAGACAAAAAAACCCAAACGAAAAAAGCAAGAAAAAAACAGGAACGAACAAGAGACGGGACCGCAAAGGGUGACAACCGAGGCCAAGCAAAGCCCACGCCAGAGCCGUCCCGGGUAGAGCACAAUGCAAGAACGCGCGGCAGAGAAAACCAGCGCCAAAGGAAUCAAGCGCCAGAGGGAUCAAGCGCCAGAGGAAACAAGCGCCAGAGGGAUCAAGCGCCAGAGGA